AUUCUGUAGGUAAGCAAUAAUUGUAUUUUUCAAUCUAUUACUUAGACUUGCCAUGGCUCAGGCUGGAAUCUAAUAUAUGGGUGAUGGCUGUAACUCAAUUAUGGGGCCUCCACAGAGUCCUAGUGUAUUCAAAGAGUAAAGACACAGAACAGGAUAGCCCCCUAAGCUUCUCUUGGAAAAUGUGUGUGCCUUUGUGUGUCAGUGUGUGUGAAUGUGUGUGUGUGCACUCUUCAUUACAAGCUCCUCUUGUUGCCUUUUUGGCUACUAAGGAAUUUGAAUAUUUAAAUUAUGACGUUUAACUAGUUAAUGUAAUUUCCUUGGAUCCCUUGCUCUUAAUUUCUCGUCCCGUGCAUGUUAGAUCCACAAUGGGAACAAGUUCAUUCUUGUUGAAAAAACAGAUGUGCAGAGGCCAUGGCUGGUUGGAAGGGCCAUGUUAAAUGUUGGAGGUUGACAGCCCCAGCCGAGGGCAGCCAUGGGGCUCUCCCACUUGCACAUCUGCAUGACAGCAGCUGGGACAGAACCCUGGGCUUGGUAAAUCUUGGGCUCAGCCAGAGAGGCAGUCAUGAGAAAUAGCUGAAAAAUGGCACGUAGUGGGGACGCCCUCGACAGCAAAUUGCAAAGAAAUAUUCUGACAGCUGGAAAAAAGAUUUUAGCUUGAAUUAGUUCUACUCCUGGGAAAGCUAAUGUAACCUGCUAAAUCAACCUACACACCAGAAGUCCAAUCAUCUUAACCUUCACACUUGAUGACCAUCACACAGCUUCAUUACCUGGAUGUUCUGAUUCCAAAUGAAGAGUCAUCGUGACAUUCUUCAAAUCACGGAAUAUUAACACGAGCACUGUAUGGUCAGAGUAAUGCAUUUUCAGACUCUUUAUGCUAAUUUCUUAGGGCCAAUACUCAUUGACAAUACUGCUUAUUAAACCUAGUAAUGAAUUGGACUUUAAUUAUUUUCAACUCCCGUAUCAUCUUCUAAAUAGGUAUUUAUGAAAUGACCUAGAAAGUCUUAUUAUGACAGCUCUUGCUUGCUUGUUCAACAGGUUCCCAAAUUUGGAUGAUGUUUUGGCUGUCAUCCAAACAUUAUAUGAAUGCAGUUAUUGGACCCAGAGUCACAUUCAGCUGUCUCAUCUUACGCCAAUCAAUCAUAAUCUCGAUAGUUGUCAUGAAGUCCACACACGAGCAACAGACAACUACAGAGAUGAAUGCCUGCAUGGAAAAUCGUAAGAUUUUCGUAGUCUUUUAUGUCUCCAGCGUCCUUCAUCCUGAAGAUUACAGGACAAUACCAGAGACCCUGGCAGAAGGGCACAGAUCUGGCUUCCCGGAGACUGCUAAAGGCUCCAGGUGAGGCAACCCAGCGGUGCGGGGGAGUUACCGCCACAGGGAGCAGACUUUCAACCAAAGAAGUCCUCAAAAAGAGGCAGAAAGCUACAACGACUCUCUCUCCAUUCCUCCCCUCAAGGGACUGGUCACCCAACAGACUAAUUUUCCUCACGAAGCAGUGACCCCAUGUGCAGAAUUUCCUGGUGCCCCACCCCUCCUUCCUGCCUUACUUUUCUUUGACUUCAACUACACAUCUCUGGGACUGC
Molecule: long non-coding RNA, 1581 nt
Filed under: Homo sapiens (human)
Lineage: Eukaryota; Metazoa; Chordata; Mammalia; Primates; Hominidae
Description: HSALNT0083658
Source: RNAcentral